RNAcentral lists this unclassified non-coding RNA (1517 nucleotides) under Hevea brasiliensis (rubber tree). The record is from RNAcentral. Lineage: Eukaryota; Viridiplantae; Streptophyta; Magnoliopsida; Malpighiales; Euphorbiaceae.
GAAAAUCUUUAUUAACUAUGACGUUAAAAAGUAGUACACAACAACAUAUUCUGAUGAGCGUUGCUCUUUCAAUACAAACUAGUACUACUAAAUUAGAAGCUUAUACAAAAUAGACUUUCUUUUACAUUCAGCACACAUGCCAUGUGUCAUCUGCUUAUUCGGCUGUUCACCCACCGUAUACUUGGGCUUCUAACCGUGGGAUCGGGUGGACCACUAAUGGAUCAGCCCGUUGUAAAGUCAGCCCAAAUGCUUCCUCCAUAUUUAACUUAUCUGGCAAUUGUCCAGUGGGCAAAGCCCAGUUAAACGAAUGGAUCAAAGUUGCAGUCAUCAACUGGACCAUGCGGAUACCCAAACUCAUUCCGGGGCAUAUUCUUCGACCAGCACCAAACGGAAUUACUUCAAAGUCAUUUCCUUUUACAUCAACUUUGGGCUUUUCACCUCCGGGCAAGAAUCUUUCGGGCCUGAACUCUAUUGGAUCAGCCCAUUGGUUUGGAUCACGAGCAAUGGCCCAAACGUUGACGAGAAGUGUCGAGCCUUUUGGAAUGAAGUAGCCAUUGAUCUCACAGCUCUCGGAUGCAAUUCUAGGGAGGGAGAGGGGUGUUGAUGGAUGAAGCCUAAAGAUUUCCUUGACUAUGGCUUCCAAAUAAGUCAAUUGGGCCAGGUCAGAUUCCAUAACGAGCCGGUUCUUUCCAACUACUUUGUCGAUCUCCUGUUGGGCCUGGGCCAGUAUUUUCGGGUUACGAAUAAGCUCUGCAAUGGCCCAUUCUACUGUGCUAGAGGAUGUGUCUGUCCCAGCUAUAAAUAAGUUCAAAAGUAAAGCUUUAAUUUCUGUAUCAGUAAGUUUUCCGCCAUUAUCGUCUUCUUCAUUUUUCAAAGAGAUCAACGUAUUCAACAAAUCCCCCUGUUCCUUCGAUUCUCCAACUCGCUUUUCCUUGUGUUCUUCGAGGAUCGUGGUUAAGAACGCGUCGAAACGCGCGUGGAGCUUCUUCAUUUUUUCAGCUACGCCUUGAAUGUCCAUCCAAUCAAGCGCCGGAAUAAAAUCGCCGAUGUUGAAAACGCCGGCGAGAACCAUCAUCUCCACCACCAUUAACUUGAACUCCUCCGCUUGAGGAUCCAUGCCGUUAGUACCGUCGGCGAAUACCCGCUUCCCGAGCAUCACACGCGCAAGUGCAUUCGUGGUGCACACGUUCAACAGCUGCCCUAGUUUGAUUGGAUUUUGACCAGCAUUCGCUAAGGCGCGUGUAAGUGUUCUGACUUCUUCCUGUCGGACAUGGCGGAAGUCAUCUAAAGCUUUAGUUGAAAAAAGAUGAACAGAACAAAUUUUCCUUAGCAUACGCCACCGUGGUCCGUAAGGUGCGAAAACAAGGUCAUGGUAAUUAUAAGCCAUGUGUUUCGCCCCAGAGUUCGGUGGGCGGCUCGAGAAGUUAGCGUCAUGAUUUUUCAAAAAUUGAGCCGCCACCGAAGCUGAGGCUGCAACCACCACGUCCACGAACCCCAUGCGAAGGUGCAUCAAUGGC